CACAUGCUUAGUUCCCCAAAGCGAAAAGCCACGCAGUUGGAGAAAACGCGGAACAUUGUAACACAAGGAAGACGAAAUCUUCCUGUUGGUGUCAAAGUGCGAUUAUUUUUGAAUGUUUUAUCUACUUAUGCCCCAAAAGAUUUGAUUUUCCUCUAGAGUAAGAGGUGCUGGCCAAAGACAGUAACAUCAACAUGACAAAAAUACAUUUGACAAUUACAUUUGUAUUUUUCCUGUUACGAAGGAUAAGAUGUGUACAAGAAGAAAAAUGCGAAGAGUUGAACAUUCAUUCUUUAAAGGGAGACACUGUCUCAAUUCCUGAAAACAACUAUGUGAGCUAUAUUUUCUGGCUGGACACUUCGGCCUGUAAACAGUCCCAAGCGAUCUACAGACUGGAGGUACAGACCAAAACGAAGGAUGGCACUUAUGAAUAUGACGGACGGGUCAUCCAGUGGAACAACACAUGUAUUGUCACAUAUGAGAAGUCAGUUCGCUGUCUCAGUAAGAAUGGUCCUGCAGAAAUGUACAGAAAACUCAAUCAAACACACGUUGAAAUCGAAUGGACAGUUUCCUGGAAAGAUGUAGAUUCUGGCAGUUUGAGAACCAUAAACCUAAGCAUGUUUGACCCAUCUCACAUCAAAAACCUGACUUUGAAGAGACGUGAAAUUAAUGGUUCUGCUUCGUUUCCUGGCAUGCCUCCAAAUCAAGAUCAUCAUACUAAAGAAAAGGGUGCGUACUCUCCAAGUACAUCUGUGUACUUAAUUAUGAACCUACUAAGGAAAAAAAAAAAUAAACCAUGAAUGUGACAAAUUUGCACUCUACAUGCAAAACUGAAAAAAAAAUCACAAAAAUAGAUCAUAUUUUAUAGCUUAAAGACUGUAGGAACUCUCUAGAGAAAGACUUUAUUAACCAACCAUCCAUGCAUUUUUACAUUUAGAAGCCUUUGAGUAACUGCUCUACUUUCCCUUGAUAAAAAGGUGAUCUGUUACUGGCUUGUCAAGGCUUGUCAGACUUAAAUGGUAAAUUCCAUCAAUGGCAGCAUGUUUCCAGCUUGGUAACUUUUUUUUGGAAAAUUUGUGAAAACAUAGAACAAAAUCUAACAACACAGUAGAUUCAUUUCCGCGUAGGAAACGUAAACUGAAGGCAAAUCGGGAACUCCAAAAAUAAAUACCGUGAUCAAGGUAGUCUCAUAAAGCCAUAACCUGGAUAAUCAAGCUAGAAGAUAGUAAUUAUCUUAUACACAGUUUUUAAAAAAGACUUCAUUUCUUUUUUAUUCUUGCGAGUGCCUCUACUAUUUUUUCAUUUGUUUUGAUUUACUAUUCUAUGUCUACAUGUAGAAAUAUUAAUUUUGUGUUAUUUAUGAAACAAUGAGCGUACUUUUAGAACUGCAGAUUUUACGAAGUUAUAAAAAGCUGCAAAUGAUGUUUAUAUAUUUCCAACAAUUUGUUUGAAUAAUGUCUGUUGGGUGCUUUGCUCAAAAGCUAUGGUGUUGACAAAUAUUAUGUUAGCCCAGUCUUGGUCAUUAUUGACCAAACGUUGGGUGUUACAUGAUCCACUACAAAUUUUGGAAAUCAGAUAGCCGAGUGGUUAGAACAUACAUGUCCUAACCCAGAGGCACACCAGUUCAAUUCUUGUGUGCCUCAGUGAACUUCUCACAGUCAACUCGGUUGUCAGAAAUGGAAACCUGACUUUAGUGUUAAGGAAGAUAAAGCAGCAAGAGGGACAAAGGAUAGAUACUGCCCUCUCAAAAAACUGGCCCCAGGAAAAGGCACCAAAUGACCUUAGAAAAGGUGGGGACGAUCUUUACCUCACUGUAUUUGUCUCCUAACUUUUCACUCAUCUGACAGUGUUUGAACAACUGAUUUCAUAUUGCUUCACAAUGGCGAAUAAACUGAAGGUAUGUACAUGUAUACACGUAGGCCUCAUGCUCUUCAGAAGUAGCACAUUCCCAUGUUUGAUAACUACGUACAUACCUAAAAGCACACACAUUUUUGUUUUGUUUCAUUGUGUAAGCAUGGCAGAUCAUCUACACGUGAUUAAAGUAAAUUUUAAGCAAUCUGACGAUUGUGGCAGUACUAAAUUAAUCCAAGAAACAUUUAUCCUGACAUUAUGAGCCUUUUUUUGAGUUAAGAAUCUCUUGAUCAACUUUUAGACAGAAGAGAAAAUACAGUUCAGAGAAAAGUUCUGCGGGUUUCUUGUCCAAAACCAUUCAGGAGAGCGUUAAUUUAGUCCUUGUUACUCCUCAAGGAGAUGGGCCUACAUAGUUCCAACAUCCUUUGCUUCACUCUCUACUAUUCUUUUCCAACUCUGAAGGAUUAACAGUGGCGCAAGAAACAUUGGUUGGGAAGACCUUCAUUGAGCAUCACUUCAAUGCUUGGAACCUUCGCUAGAAGACUGGAAAAACACAGCUGAAAACAAGGAAAGUAAAGAUUUAAGCCUCACUUUGAUGACCAAAAAUCUAAAUUAAGUGCUGAAGGUUUUAUAAGUGGUCGACUUGUUUUUGUUGUUGUUUAUUUGGUAUGGGGAAUACACACUAUGAUGAUGAUGAUGUCGAUUUGUAAUGCGCAGGUAUCCAUUCCGAAGAAUGCUCAUUGCGCAGAAAAAAAAAGA
RNAcentral lists this unclassified non-coding RNA (2607 nucleotides) under Pomacea canaliculata. RNAcentral describes it as "uncharacterized LOC112568061, transcript variant X2". The record is from RNAcentral. Lineage: Eukaryota; Metazoa; Mollusca; Gastropoda; Architaenioglossa; Ampullariidae.